GCCUGGGUGGCUCAGUCGGUUGAGCAUCCGACUUCAGCUCGGGUCAUGAUCUCACAGUCCGUGGGUUCGAGCCCUGCAUCGGGCU
RNAcentral lists this transfer RNA (85 nucleotides) under Felis catus (domestic cat). It matches the Rfam family "tRNA". From Rfam's summary of the family: Transfer RNA (tRNA) molecules are approximately 80 nucleotides in length. The record is from Rfam by way of RNAcentral. Lineage: Eukaryota; Metazoa; Chordata; Mammalia; Carnivora; Felidae.